CCUACGGGAGGCAGCAGUGGGGAAUAUUGCACAAUGGGGGAAACCCUGAUGCAGCGACGCCGCGUGAGUGAAGAAGUAUUUCGGUAUGUAAAGCUCUAUCAGCAGGGAAGAAAAUGACGGUACCUGAUUAAGAAGCCCCGGCUAACUACGUGCCAGCAGCCGCGGUCAUACGUAGGGGGCAAGCGUUAUCCGGAUUUACUGGGUGUAAAGGGAGCGUAGACGGCAGCACAAGUCUGGAGUGAAAUGCCGGGGCUUAACCCCGGAACUGCUUUGGAAACUGUGCAGCUAGAGUGCAGGAGAGGUAAGUGGAAUGCGUGGUGUAGCGGUGAAAUGCGUAGAUAUUAGGAGGAACACCAGUGGCGAAGGCGGCUUACUGGACUGUAACUGACGUUGAGGCUCGAAAGCGUGGGGAGCAAACAGGAUUAGAUACCCCAGUAGUC
This 440-nucleotide ribosomal RNA is filed under the name uncultured bacterium. RNAcentral describes it as "partial 16S ribosomal RNA". It matches the Rfam family "Bacterial small subunit ribosomal RNA", at positions 338 to 795 of the family's 1533-position model. The record is from RNAcentral.